UACGUAGGGGGCUAGCGUUGUUCGGAAUCACUGGGCGUAAAGCGCACGUAGGCGGACCUUUAAGUCAGGGGUGAAAGCCUGGAGCUCAACUCCAGAACUGCCUUUGAUACUGGAGGUCUCGAGUGUGGAAGAGGUUGGUGGAACUGCGAGUGUAGAGGUGAAAUUCGUAGAUAUUCGCAAGAACACCAGUGGCGAAGGCGGCCAACUGGUCCAUUACUGACGCUGAGGUGCGAAAGCGUGGGGAGCAAACAGG
RNAcentral lists this ribosomal RNA (253 nucleotides) under uncultured bacterium. RNAcentral's name for it is "partial 16S ribosomal RNA". It matches the Rfam family "Bacterial small subunit ribosomal RNA", at positions 524 to 776 of the family's 1533-position model. The record is from RNAcentral.